UCGGUUCCCAGAGGACUUGAGGAAGUGUUGUCAUGGAGACGGCACGCACCCCACCCCCUCCCAGGCCCAGGGUCUCCGGCACGGUGUCUCAGGUUCUCUCCUUCCGCCCCCCUUCCCCCGCCCAGUCCCUUGCUCUCCAACCAAGAUCUUGCAUCGCCCCCUGGCGGCCUAGCUCGGCACUGAGCCAGGUUCCGAAAUGUGAGGGGGGCUGCCCGCGGCUAACUCGCCUAGAGGUAGGGGGACCUACCCUGCAGCCAGAUCUUUCUCCUAGUCGCCAGGACGCGGGGGGUGGUGACUCUAGUCCGGCUCCCCUUUCUUCGCUGACAACAGAGGCCUCGCCUGGCGGACGCACCUGUCUCCCCACCUCCCACCAGCCUCAGCCCAGGUGGAUGUCGGGUUACCCGAUGAUAGUGAGGGCUGCGGCCUUCUCCUACUCUGGGUUGUGACAUGGCUGAAAGAGGAGUUACUCCUCGGAUCUCAAAGGAGGGCCAUUUGGAGGUGGUCAUGUAGUGCUGCUUUAUCCCUUGUAUCUGUAAGAAGUAAAGGAUUACGUCGGAGGUCGGGUCAGACAAGCCUCAGAGGAGCCUGGCUAGAGAUACUGCUACCCAGACCCAAGCGAUUUCCAGGGUCAGUGGAGGCAGAUUUGAGUGCUUGUCUCUUGCUCCGGUUUCCAUGCUUCAAUCCACUCUGUCCCUUCAACAUUCAAAAGAUAACUCUCAUCCCAGAUUCCAAGACAGAUUCAUCUGAAGGUGAAGAGACACAACCACAGAGACCCAAUACAUAUACUGAUAUACCACGAAGGAUUCACAUAAAAAUGCACAUACAAGUAUAACUAUUUGCACAUACACACACUUGUUUUAACAAACAAGAGAAAAUGCCCUGCAGUAGUAAGCACCACCAGAGGCUACAGUGGUUUUUGGAGCUGAUUUCUACAAUUUCCAUAUCCUGCUGGGAAUUUCAAGGUCAAGUGCCCCCAGUGGACACUUAGGAGAAACAGCUACAGACCAGGAAUGUAAUAAAGGGUAAAGGCUGUUGAAUUUAAAAACCUCUCAGCCUGUGAGAAAGCCACGUUUGGUCUGGAUGAAGGCAGAAGUCACUGCUCCUUGAAGGUAAGAAGAAUUGAUCCUGUCUUAUGAGCAAGAUUAAUUCUGGAAUUCACUCCACAGCAUCUAACUAAGAGUGCGAAAACUCUUAUGUGAAAAUCUUAUUUCUAAAAUGGGAAAAACUGUCAAAAUGCUUCCCUCUCACCAGAAGAGGGCACUCUGAUAUCCCACAACAGAGCAGAAUGGGGAUGGUUGGAGGCUACAUUAAGAUCUCCUCCCCACUAGAACCCCUGAAGCUGCUUUAACUGCAGGGUAAUGCGGUGUCAGGGUCGGGUAAAAGGGAAACAAACAAGGGUAGCUGUACUUGGUCUGCUGGGAGAGUUCUUGGCAGAGGCAGAAAGAGACAGGCUGCAUGGCAUAAGCCUAUUCACCUGAUAGCUGUCCCUUCAAAGAAGGCCUUUAGCUGUUUAACACGAUAUUCAUCUAUUUCCCACUGGAGGGAAAGGAAUAGAGUACAGAGACCUGUUGAAAGUGUGAUAUUGAGGAUGCAGCAUGGGUUACGAAAAGGCAAAAGACCCUAGUUCAAGGUCUACGAUUGUGACCUCAGGCAAGUCAUUUAUCCUCUUUGAGUCUUAAAUUUCCUCUUCACAAGGUUCUGGUGAGAAUUAAAAUGACACAAUGUAUGUGAGCACAAAUGAAAAGCAGCUAAACAAAUCUAAGAUAGGACUUAAAAAGCAUUUUAUCAGCUUCCUCACACUCACAACCAAAAAGUAAAGCUGUCUAUAGGAAGAGUGAGUGCAGGAGACAGAGGUAAGCACUUUGUGUCUCAAAGGCACGUGAGUGGUGAGUGUAAUGUUGGUUUCGGAGGGAAGGAAAAAAAGAAAGAAAAAAAAAACCCACA
Molecule: long non-coding RNA, 1944 nt
Organism: Panthera uncia (snow leopard)
Lineage: Eukaryota; Metazoa; Chordata; Mammalia; Carnivora; Felidae
Exons: 4
Source: RefSeq, a predicted model, not a curated record